AUUGAACGCUGGCGGCAGGCCUAACACAUGCAAGUCGAGCGGAGAGGCACAAGGGGGAGUAAUGCCUAGGCAUAUGCAUAGUCGUGGGGGAUAACGUCCGGAAACGGCUGCUAAUACCGCAUACUAUAGAUUGAGUCUCGGUCGGAUUAGAUGGAUGUUGGGGUAAAGACCUACCAAGGCGACGAUCCGUAUCUGGUCUGAGAGGAGGAUCAGUCACAUGGGAACGGGAACACGGUCCGUACUCCAACGGAAGGCAGCCGUGGGGAAUAUUGGACAAUGGGCGAAAGCCGGAUCCGGCCAUGCGGCUGGUGUGAAGAAGGUAUUCGGAUUGUAAAGCACUUUAAGUUGGGAGGCGUUACAAACAGAAUAAGGACCGGCUAACUUCGUGCCAGCAGCCGCGGUAAUUC
RNAcentral lists this ribosomal RNA (407 nucleotides) under uncultured bacterium. Its description in RNAcentral is "partial 16S ribosomal RNA". It matches the Rfam family "Bacterial small subunit ribosomal RNA", at positions 30 to 526 of the family's 1533-position model. The record is from RNAcentral.